This is a non-coding RNA of Pelobates cultripes (western spadefoot toad), 294 nucleotides long. The record is from the annotation of a GenBank genome assembly. Lineage: Eukaryota; Metazoa; Chordata; Amphibia; Anura; Pelobatidae.
GCAGUAGCAGGCAUACUGUCUAGGUGAUGGCUGCUCCGCUUUUGCACCCUGCUCUAGGAGGAGGAGGUGGAUGUGGAGUAGGAGGUUGAGGAUGCGGUGACCAUGGCGGCGACGACGCAUUCGGAUGUCUGCACUAUCAACUUUCAAUGUUACUUUCUGCACCUACCAUGGUGACCACUGGUAACAGGGAAUCAGGGUUCAAUUCGAGAGAGGGAGCCUGGGAAAUGGCUACCACAUCCAAGUAAAAGCAGCAGGCAUGCAAAUUACCCACUCCUGAUGUGGGGAGGUAGUGAC